CCUACGGGGUGCUGCAGUGGGGAAUAUUGCACAAUGGGGGAAACUCUGAUGCAGCGACGCCGCGUGAGGGAAGACGGUCUUCGGAUUGUAAACCUCUUUUUUUGGGGAAGAAAAUGACGGUACCCAAAGCGGAAGCUCCGGCUAACUACGUGCAAGCAGCCGCGUGAUAACGUAGGGAGCGCGCGUUGUCCGGAAUUACUGGGUGUAAAGGGAGCGUAGGCGCGCGAGAACUUUGAAUUUUAAAUCUACGGGCUUAACUGAUAGCUGCGUUCAAAACUUCUUGUCUUGAGUGAAGUAGAGGCAGGCGGAAUUCCUAGUGUAGCGGUGAAAUGCGUAGAUAUUAGGAGGAACACCAGUGGCGAAGGCGGCCUGCUGGGCUUCAACUGACGCUGAGGCUCGAAAGCGUGGGGAGCAAACAGGAUUAGAUACCCUAGUAGUC
This 439-nucleotide ribosomal RNA is filed under the name uncultured bacterium. RNAcentral's name for it is "partial 16S ribosomal RNA". It matches the Rfam family "Bacterial small subunit ribosomal RNA", at positions 338 to 795 of the family's 1533-position model. The record is from RNAcentral.